Molecule: non-coding RNA, 72 nt
Organism: Trichoderma gamsii
Lineage: Eukaryota; Fungi; Ascomycota; Sordariomycetes; Hypocreales; Hypocreaceae
Source: Rfam
GCCCGCGUAGCUCAGGGGUAGAGCGUUGCACUCGUAAUGCAAAGGUCCAUAGUUCAAAUCUGUGUGUGGGCA